UAAGUCACUUUGUCUUUAUGCCAAAUGUGAGAUGCAGUGUAUGGAACGUCUAUUAUCUAGUAUGAGAAAUUAAUGAUUUAAGUCCUUCUUAAAUGAGGCCAAUUACCCAUAGAGGGUGCCAGGCCCGUAUAACAUUAAUGAUUACUAGAAGAUGUUUCCAAAGAGUCGUGUUGCUUGAUAGUGCAGCACUAAGUUGGUGGUAAACUCCAUCUAAAACUAAAUAUAACCAUGAGACCGAUAGUAAACAAGUACCGUGAGGGAAAGUUGAAAAGAACUCUGAAUAGAGAGUUAAAUAGUACGUGAAACUGCUUAGAGGUUAAGCCCGAUGAACCUGAAUAUCCAUUAUGGAAAAUUCAUCAUUAUAUCUAUAAUAUUAAUAAUAUUAUUGAAAUAGUGUGCAUUUUUUCCAUAUAAGGACAUUGUAAUCUAUUAACAUAUAUAUAUUUAUCAAAAGAUCAUUUGCUUAAGUUUAUUCAAAUUAUUAUACAUUUGUAUUUUAACAUAGAAUAAAUGCAUAUGAUUUGAUAAAGUGUUGAUAGAUUUAUUUAUAUAUAGUGCUUAAAUUCUUUUGAAUUUUACAAUGGCAUAAUUAUCUUAUGAUUUUUAUGUUUAUUGUAUGCGCUUAUAUGAUUAACAAUGCGAUAGAUUCAGGAUACCUUCGGGACCCGUCUUGAAACACGGACCAAGGAGUCUAACAUAUGUGCAAGUCAUUGGGAUUAUUUAUAUAAACCCAAAGGCAUAAUUAACUUAACUGUUUAUAAUGGGAUUAGUUUUUAGUCUAUUUUUAUAGUCUAUUAAUUCAAUCCCGGGGCGUUCUAUACAGUUAUGUAUAAUAAUAUUUAUAUUAUUUAUACCUCUAACUAGAGCGUACCUUGAGCAUAUAUGCUGUGACCCGAAAGAUGGUGAACUAUACUUGAUCAGGUUGAAGUCAGGGGAAACCCUG
RNAcentral lists this ribosomal RNA (943 nucleotides) under Gluma nitida. RNAcentral describes it as "eukaryotic LSU rRNA". It matches the Rfam family "Eukaryotic large subunit ribosomal RNA", at positions 115 to 866 of the family's 3401-position model. The record is from RNAcentral. Lineage: Eukaryota; Metazoa; Arthropoda; Insecta; Diptera; Coelopidae.